RNAcentral lists this ribosomal RNA (460 nucleotides) under uncultured bacterium. Its description in RNAcentral is "partial 16S ribosomal RNA". It matches the Rfam family "Bacterial small subunit ribosomal RNA", at positions 338 to 795 of the family's 1533-position model. The record is from RNAcentral.
CCUACGGGGAGCAGCAGUGAGGAAUAUUGGUCAAUGGGCGAGAGCCUGAACCAGCCAAGUCGCGUGAAGGAUGAAGGAUCUAUGUUUUGUAAACUUCUUUUAUAUGGGAAUAAAGUGCGGAACGUGUUCCUUUUUGUAUGUACCAUAUGAAUAAGCAUCGGGUAACUCCGUGCCAGCAGCCGCGGUAAUACGGAGGAUGCGAGCGUUAUCCGGAUUUAUUGGGUUUAAAGGGUGCGUAGGUGGUUAAUUAAGUCAGCGGUGAAAGUUUGUGGCUCAACCACAAGAUUGCCGUGGAAACUGGGUGACUGGAGUACAGUUGAGGCAGGCGGAAUGCGUGGUGUAGCGGUGAAAUGCAUAGAUAUCACGCAGAACUCCGAUUGCGAAGGCAGCUUACUAAACUAUAACUGACACUGAAGCACGAAAGCGUGGGGAUCAAACAGGAUUAGAUACCCUUGUAGUC